This 253-nucleotide ribosomal RNA is filed under the name uncultured bacterium. RNAcentral's name for it is "partial 16S ribosomal RNA". It matches the Rfam family "Bacterial small subunit ribosomal RNA", at positions 524 to 776 of the family's 1533-position model. The record is from RNAcentral.
UACGUAGGGGGCAAGCGUUGUCCGGAAUUAUUGGGCGUAAAGAGCGCGUAGGCGGUCCGAUAAGUCGGGUGUGAAAGCCCCGGGCUCAACCUGGGAAUUGCAUUCGAGACUGAAUAGCUAGGGUACGGUAGAGGGAAGCGGAAUUUCCGGUGUAGCGGUGAAAUGCGUAGAUAUCGGAAGGAACAUCAGUGGCGAAAGCGGCUUCCUGGACCAGUACCGACGUUCAGGCACGAAAGCGUGGGGAGCAAACAGG